UACGGGGGGAGCAAACGUUGUUCGGAAUCACUGGGCGUAAAGGGCGUGUAGGCGGCUGAAUAAGUGGGAUGUUAAAUCCCCCGGCUCAACCGGGGACCUGCAUCUCAUACUGUUCAGCUCGAGCACAUCAGAGGAGACUGGAAUUCCCGGUGUAGCAGUGAAAUGCGUAGAUAUGCGGAGGAACACCGAUGGCGAAGGCAAUCCCCUGGGCCUGCACUGACGCUCAUGCACGAAAGCGUGGGGAGCAAACAGG
RNAcentral lists this ribosomal RNA (253 nucleotides) under uncultured bacterium. RNAcentral describes it as "partial 16S ribosomal RNA". It matches the Rfam family "Bacterial small subunit ribosomal RNA", at positions 524 to 776 of the family's 1533-position model. The record is from RNAcentral.